RNAcentral lists this ribosomal RNA (698 nucleotides) under Staphylococcus epidermidis. Its description in RNAcentral is "bacterial SSU rRNA". It matches the Rfam family "Bacterial small subunit ribosomal RNA", at positions 82 to 767 of the family's 1533-position model. The record is from RNAcentral. Lineage: Bacteria; Bacillati; Bacillota; Bacilli; Caryophanales; Staphylococcaceae.
UCCUCUGACGUUAGCGGCGGACGGGUGAGUAACACGUGGAUAACCUACCUAUAAGACUGGGAUAACUUCGGGAAACCGGAGCUAAUACCGGAUAAUAUAUGGAACCGCAUGGUUCAAUAGUGAAAGACGGUUUUGCUGUCACUUAUAGAUGGAUCCGCGCCGCAUUAGCUAGUUGGUAAGGUAACGGCUUACCAAGGCAACGAUGCGUAGCCGACCUGAGAGGGUGAUCGGCCACACUGGAACUGAGACACGGUCCAGACUCCUACGGGAGGCAGCAGUAGGGAAUCUUCCGCAAUGGGCGAAAGCCUGACGGAGCAACGCCGCGUGAGUGAUGAAGGUCUUCGGAUCGUAAAACUCUGUUAUUAGGGAAGAACAAAUGUGUAAGUAACUAUGCACGUCUUGACGGUACCUAAUCAGAAAGCCACGGCUAACUACGUGCCAGCAGCCGCGGUAAUACGUAGGUGGCAAGCGUUAUCCGGAAUUAUUGGGCGUAAAGCGCGCGUAGGCGGUUUUUUAAGUCUGAUGUGAAAGCCCACGGCUCAACCGUGGAGGGUCAUUGGAAACUGGAAAACUUGAGUGCAGAAGAGGAAAGUGGAAUUCCAUGUGUAGCGGUGAAAUGCGCAGAGAUAUGGAGGAACACCAGUGGCGAAGGCGACUUUCUGGUCUGUAACUGACGCUGAUGUGCGAAAGCGUGGGGA